Non-coding RNA from Gossypium arboreum, 145 nucleotides. The record is from Rfam. NCBI's taxonomy places the organism in Eukaryota, Viridiplantae, Streptophyta, Magnoliopsida, Malvales, Malvaceae.
UGUUAAAAGUUUCAUCCAUAUAUAUUGUUAAAAACUGUCGUAGUUGACAGAAUAAUCCGAUAGUGACAUGUGAUAUGUUGUGUGUACUUCAUAUUGACAUAUAUAAGCCAAACUUUAACAACAGAAAUGGAUGAAUAUUUGAAUA